CCCUUAGAUGUCCUGGGCCGCACGCGCGCUACACUGACGGAGGCAGCGAGCUUACCCCUUUGCCGAAAGGCAUGGGAAAUCUUUUGAAUCUCCGUCGUGCUGGGGAUAGAUCAUUGCAAUUAUUGAUCUUGAACGAGGAAUUCCUAGUAAGCGCAAGUCAUCAACUUGCGUUGAUUACGUCCCUGCCCUUUGUACACACCGCCCGUCGCACCUACCGAUUGAAUGGUCCGGUGAAAUCUUCGGAUUGAGACUUUGAUUUCUUCACGGAAAACGCUGUUUUAAGAAGUUGAUUAAACCUUACCAUUUAGAGGAAGGUGAAGUCGUAACA
This 328-nucleotide ribosomal RNA is filed under the name uncultured eukaryote. RNAcentral's name for it is "partial 18S ribosomal RNA". It matches the Rfam family "Eukaryotic small subunit ribosomal RNA", at positions 1470 to 1796 of the family's 1831-position model. The record is from RNAcentral.